GUUUGAUCUCGUCAAGCUAAGUGGGAGCUGGAAAGGAAUGGAUCAAACGGGUCAAGUGCGCAAGGAAAGCUCGAACGGACGCAAACUGUACAUUUUGGAUGCCGGAAGACGAUCAAGCUCAACGAAGAACCGAACACGCAUAAGAUAAAAGCUUCCGCACGUCGUUUCGUCGUAACUUUUAAACGACGAACUCAAUUAUGUUAUGUUGUAUUAUUUUAAAAUUGUAAAGUUUAAACAAACCCGUAUUUAUACAAAGUAUAU
This 261-nucleotide long non-coding RNA is filed under the name Helianthus annuus (common sunflower). RNAcentral's name for it is "hypothetical non coding rna". Lineage: Eukaryota; Viridiplantae; Streptophyta; Magnoliopsida; Asterales; Asteraceae. The record is from RNAcentral.